UACACCAAAAUGCACAGGUUGUGAACUCGAAGAGUAGGGCGGGACACGUGGUAUCCUGUCUGAAUAUGGGGGGACCAUCCUCCAAGGCUAAAUACUCCUGACUGACCGAUAGUGAACCAGUACCGUGAGGGAAAGGCGAAAAGAACCCCGGCGAGGGGAGUGAAAAAGAACCUGAAACCGUGUACGUACAAGCAGUGGGAGCACCUUCGGGUGUGACUGCGUACCUUUUGUAUAAUGGGUCAGCGACUUAUAUUCUGUAGCAAGGUUAACCGUAUAGGGGAGCCGCAGGGAAACCGAGUCUUAACUGGGCGUUAAGUUGCAGGGUAUAGACCCGAAACCCGGUGAUCUAGCCAUGGGCAGGUUGAAGGUUGGGUAACACUAACUGGAGGACCGAACCGACUAAUGUUGAAAAAUUAGCGGAUGACUUGUGGCUGGGGGUGAAAGGCCAAUCAAACCGGGAGAUAGCUGGUUCUCCCCGAAAGCUAUUUAGGUAGCGCCUCGUGAACUCAUCUUCGGGGGUAGAGCACUGUUUCGGCUAGGGGGUCAUCCCGACUUACCAACCCGAUGCAAACUACGAAUACCGAAGAAUGUUAUCACGGGAGACACACGGCGGGUGCUAACGUCCGUCGUGAAGAGGGAAACAACCCAGACCGCCAGCUAAGGUCCCAAAGUCAUGGUUAAGUGGGAAACGAUGUGGGAAGGCACAGACAGCCAGGAUGUUGGCUUAGAAGCAGCCAUCAUUUAAAGAAAGCGUAAUAGCUCACUGGUCGAGUCGGCCUGCGCGGAAGAUGUAACGGGGCUAAACCAUGCACCGAAGCUGCGGCAGCGACACUAUGUGUUGUUGGGUAGGGGAGCGUUCUGUAAGCCUGCGAAGGUGACCUGUGAGGGUUGCUGGAGGUAUCAGAAGUGCGAAUGCUGACAUAAGUAACGAUAAAGCGGGUGAAAAGCCCGCUCGCCGGAAGACCAAGGGUUCCUGUCCAACGUUAAUCGGGGCAGGGUGAGUCGACCCCUAAGGCGAGGCCGAAAGGCGUAGUCGAUGGGAAACAGGUUAAUAUUCCUGUACUUGGUGUUACUGCGAAGGGG
This 1083-nucleotide ribosomal RNA is filed under the name Pseudomonas aeruginosa. RNAcentral describes it as "partial 23S ribosomal RNA". It matches the Rfam family "Bacterial large subunit ribosomal RNA", at positions 376 to 1469 of the family's 2925-position model. The record is from RNAcentral. Lineage: Bacteria; Pseudomonadati; Pseudomonadota; Gammaproteobacteria; Pseudomonadales; Pseudomonadaceae.